This 281-nucleotide unclassified non-coding RNA is filed under the name Hevea brasiliensis (rubber tree). Lineage: Eukaryota; Viridiplantae; Streptophyta; Magnoliopsida; Malpighiales; Euphorbiaceae. The record is from RNAcentral.
GUUCUUCCAUCAUGUGUACGUAUAAUCUCCUUAUUAAAAGGACUAUGAAAUACAAAUUCCAAUUCAUUCAUUUUUUCCCCACAUUGUGGGUCUGUAUUUUAUGUGGCGUAAAUUGCCAUUUUGAGUUGAAAAGCCUAUACAUGCACAUGAAGAUAAGUGCUUUAUCAUGCAUUGUAGUUUAGAAGUCUAAUCACCAUAUAUUGUGUUCUGCCUCUUUUUGUUUCCAAAUUCAGUGCUAGGGAGGUAAUGGUAUAAUAUUCAUGUAGUUAUUAGAAAAGUAG